This 2852-nucleotide long non-coding RNA is filed under the name Homo sapiens (human). Its description in RNAcentral is "HSALNT0355708". The record is from RNAcentral. Lineage: Eukaryota; Metazoa; Chordata; Mammalia; Primates; Hominidae.
UUCCUUGAACAGUGUGCACUUGAGGAACGAAUUAAGACCCGUAAACAAGGAUGAAAGCCCCCGCCCCGCAGACUUCAGCUCCUCCUCCAUGAAGGACGCCGCCUGGGAGGUGAGUCCAGGCCGGGCCAGGGAGGGCCUCCUGUGGGAAGGUGCAUUUUCACCUUACAGCCGGGAAGUAGACAGCUGCGUCACAGUUUCACUCAUGCCGGUCUCUUCCUGUGCACAUUCAAUGUUAACAUUAUUCUGGCAAAAGCCUUGCUGCAGAUAGUCUCUCCGGUCCCUCCUACAUCUCUUUCCAGAAGACAGUUUAAAAGGACACAUUUCAUCACCUCUCAGAAGGGGUUAACAUCACAGAAUUCCAAGUCUGAGGGUGGAGCCCUGAUCCUGAGAAGGUUUUGUUGAGUUCGGGACAGUAUUUCUUUACCCAUCCUUCAUGAAGAUAAAAAAUGAGGCAAAAUAGACACUAAAAUGGUCUCUGACAUCUCCUCAUGCCACCAGACAAGGAGUAACCAUGGUAACAAGAAGCCUAGAAAAAUUGGGGAAUGAGGAAGACCAGGAAUGAGAGCUCCCCUCAGCCCUGGGGGGACCUGAGUGUCCACAGCUGAGCCUUCUCUGCUUCCCUUUUCUCUUCUGGAUUCUGAUGGAGGAUAUUUUCAUCUUCCUCCCAAAAUCAUCAGAAAGCAUAAGGACAUAUAUAAACCGCUUUGCAAAAAGAGAGUGUAUGGAAUAAAAGAGAAAAUGAAGAAGAGGAGAAAGGCUGGAGUGCAAUGGUGUGAUCUCAGCUCACUGCAGCCUCAACCUCCCUGGCUCAGGUGAUUCUCCCACCUCAGCUUCCUGAUUAACUGGGAUUACAGAACCAGAUUGAAGUUCAUCCCAGCUCUCAGCCAGAUCCUCCUGCUUCAGAUUAAGCGGAGCUGGGAAAGGACGAUCCAUGUCCAGCCCUCCCCAGGAGAGCAGUGUCACCAUCAUUUCGAAGAGCCUCCAUGUCUCUCAUGGUUUGAGGUUUGGAAACGAGAACCACAGAAGCCUGCAGUCGCUGCCUGACAGGGCGUGGGAGACCACAGCCAAAUCUCAGAGGAGUUUCUGGAGGGAAGACUCAUUCUGAAGAAUAAGAGAGAGAAGACCCAAGAACCGUGUCUUCUGAGGAGAUGAGAGAGGAGAUCAUGAGCACCAGGUGGUUGUCGAAGCUUUAGGAGGUUUGAAGAGAAAGGGUGCUUGGAUGGGGAACUACUAUGGGAUAUUAGGAUUAUUUUCCUUUCAUGUUCUUCCUAUUCACAUUCACUCACAAAGGCCAGAACCAGAGGGCUAAGAGAGUGACAGCAAACUGGCUAACUGCUUGCCUGCCCUCCGGUUGCUCAGGUGAGCUAUGGUGUCCUGCUUCCUGACUGUGAGAUCAUUUAUACCGUUCAGAAAACCUGGGAGUCCUGUAGGGAUGGGGUGGUACAAGAGCUGGGACUUAUCACCAGAAACCUCCAAACAAGCCCAGCUCCAUCUCUGUGUGCUCUUGGCCAUGCCCCAACAGUGCUGAGCAACUGUUUCCUCAUUUAUUAUUAUUAUUAUUAUUUGUUUUUUGAGACGGAGUUUUCGCUCUCGUCACCCAGGCUGGAGUGCAGUAGCACAAUCUCGGCUCACUGCAAUCUCCGCCUCCUGGGUUCAACUGAUUCUCCUGCCUCAGCCUCCCAAGUAGCUGGAACUACAGGCACGUGCCACCACGUCCAGCUAACUUUUGUAUUUUUAGUAGAGAUAGGGUUUUGCCAUGUUGGCCAGGCUGGUCUCAAACUCCUGACCUCAGGUGAUCCACCUGCCUCGGCCUCCCAAAGUGCUGGGAUCACAGGAGUGAGCCACUGUGUCCAGCUCAUUUCCUCAUUUAUAAACGGGGGUGUCUGCCUGCUCUUCUCAUAGGAUUUUUGUGAGAAUCAAAUAAGGCAAAAACACUUAGUAAAUUUUGCAGCUCUGCGGAAAGUAUGGACUUAACACGAAGCUCUGUGAUUAUUAUUUCUUAGACACAUAUGUUCACAAAUGCUGGUCGAUACUGUCUUCCUUGUGUCUGUUGCCUCCGUGUGUGAUGUUUGAGCCUUUAGCCACGAGAGGAAAAUGAGUAAGACCAGAGAUUUGUGGACAAGCCCAUCACCCUGGGGGGCACACCAGGCUCCAGCCAAAGGUGGGAUAAAAGCCCUUUGCAAAAAUGAUGAUGAUGACAAUAAGGUGUCUAAGUCACAAAGCAUGACUGCACUUUCCUCUUCACUGUGAGGACCAAAUAUUCAUUUUAUACAUGGCUAUGUUCCAUGUGUAACUAUAUAUAUAGCAAAACAUGUUUGACAGUAAGGUUACUAUAUCCAAAAGACUCCUAGCCUCACACCUAUUCAGCUAUGGACUCCUGUGAUCAAACGUUUGCAGCAAGAAAUGUUCUUAAAUCUGUAACGUUAAAAUAGUUGCUUGAGUAACUUCAGAGGCUCAACUAAUCAUUCAAUUGCUAUCGAUCACCCUACUAGCUCCAAUACUUACACCUGGUGCAGACUGGCCCUUGGAAGAAGCUCUUAACUGAAAAUAGCAAUGAAGAGACACAACUCAAUUGCACUUUCUAACUAGAUUUCUAUAAAAACCAUUUAACUAGUAACUAAACAUCACUGUGUAGUUUUAGAAAAUUCAAUCUAGCCAGCGAACGCAAGUAGUUUUACAGGCUUAGGAAACCAAGUGCUGCUUUGCCUCUCAGAACGGCUUGUUUUUGUCAUUUAUAUUGCUGUGGUUUUAAUAUCAAAUUACUUGAUUUUUGAAUGUCACAAUACUCUCUGGUUUUUAUAUGAAUAAAAGUAAUGAAAGAGAAAUCUAUUAAAUCAGAUCUCACCUUACAA